RNAcentral lists this ribosomal RNA (243 nucleotides) under uncultured bacterium. RNAcentral's name for it is "partial 16S ribosomal RNA". The record is from RNAcentral.
CUGCUGCCUUCCGUAGGAGUCUGGGCCGUGUCUCAGUCCCAAUGUGGCCGUUCAACCUCUCAGUCCGGCUACUGAUCGUCGCUUUGGUGGGCCGUUACCCCGCCAACUGGCUAAUCAGACGCGAGCUCAUCUUUGGACGAUAAAUCUUUGGCAGCAAAACCAUGCGAUCCCGCUGCAUUAUGCGGUAUUAGCAGUCGUUUCCGGCUGUUAUCCCCCAUCCAAAGGCAGAUUGCUCACGCGUUA